RNAcentral lists this ribosomal RNA (368 nucleotides) under Staphylococcus pseudintermedius. Its description in RNAcentral is "partial 23S ribosomal RNA". It matches the Rfam family "Bacterial large subunit ribosomal RNA", at positions 1 to 357 of the family's 2925-position model. The record is from RNAcentral. Lineage: Bacteria; Bacillati; Bacillota; Bacilli; Caryophanales; Staphylococcaceae.
AUAUAGAUUAAGUUAUUAAGGGCGCACGGUGGAUGCCUUGGCACUAGAAGCCGAUGAAGGACGUUACUAACGACGAUAUGCUUUGGGGAGCUGUAAGUAAGCUUUGAUCCAGAGAUUUCCGAAUGGGGAAACCCAGCACGAGUUAUGUCGUGUUAUCUGCAUGUGAAUACAUAGCAUGCAAGAAGGCAGACCCGGAGAACUGAAACAUCUUAGUACCCGGAGGAAGAGAAAGAAAAAUCGAUUCCCUGAGUAGCGGCGAGCGAAACGGGAAGAGCCCAAACCAAUAAGCUUGCUUAUUGGGGUUGUAGGACACUCUGUACGGAGUUACAAAAGAAUUUGUUAGACGAAUAACCUGGAAAGGUUAAUCA